RNAcentral lists this microRNA precursor (160 nucleotides) under Oryza brachyantha (malo sina). Its description in RNAcentral is "MIR812 microRNA precursor family". It matches the Rfam family "MIR812 microRNA precursor family", at positions 27 to 193 of the family's 205-position model. Lineage: Eukaryota; Viridiplantae; Streptophyta; Magnoliopsida; Poales; Poaceae. The record is from Rfam by way of RNAcentral.
UAUAAUUUUUAACUGUCUUAUUUAAAUUUUUUUAUUGAUAUUUUUGUUUUUGUUAGAUGAUAAAUCAUGAAUAGAAUUUUAUGUGUGACUAAUUUUUUUUAAUUUCCUAAAAAAUUUUCAAAUAAGACGGAUGGUCAAACGUUAGACACGGAAACCGAAG